Macaca mulatta (Rhesus monkey) is the source of this 300-nucleotide non-coding RNA. The record is from RefSeq and is a predicted model, not a curated record. Lineage: Eukaryota; Metazoa; Chordata; Mammalia; Primates; Cercopithecidae.
GCUGGUGCUGAGCACUCGCCCCCCUGCCCGCCUGCCGUCUCUAUGUCUAGAGCUCUUGGAAACAAGACAUAGAGGUGUCUGGUCCUGAGAAGAGGAAGUUUUGCUAAAUGAGAGACACGGCUGACUCAGCUGACUCAGGUUCCAUGACCCCACAAUGUCACUGGUGCUGAGUGACCGCCCACCCACCAACCCACCCACCUCUGUGUUGUGCGGCACUUGGACACAAGACACACACAGGUGUCUGGUUCUGUGCAUAAACGACUUUUCUAAGAGAGACACAGCUGCCUCAGCAGACUCAGG